This 460-nucleotide ribosomal RNA is filed under the name uncultured bacterium. RNAcentral's name for it is "partial 16S ribosomal RNA". It matches the Rfam family "Bacterial small subunit ribosomal RNA", at positions 338 to 795 of the family's 1533-position model. The record is from RNAcentral.
CCUACGGGUGGCAGCAGUGAGGAAUAUUGGUCAAUGGGCGGGAGCCUGAACCAGCCAAGUCGCGUGAGGGAAGACGGUCCUAUGGAUUGUAAACCUCUUUAGGCGGGGAGCAAUGCCGGGCACGUGUGCCCGGAGGGAGAGUACCCGCAGAAUAAGCAUCGGCUAACUCCGUGCCAGCAGCCGCGGUAAUACGGAGGAUGCGAGCGUUAUCCGGAUUUAUUGGGUUUAAAGGGUGCGUAGGCGGAUUUUUAAGUCAGCGGUAAAAUCGAGAGGCUCAACCUCUUUCCGCCGUUGAAACUGUCGGUCUUGAGUGGGCGAGAAGUAUGCGGAAUGCGUGGUGUAGCGGUGAAAUGCAUAGAUAUCACGCAGAACUCCGAUUGCGAAGGCAGCAUACCGGCGCCCGACUGACGCUGAGGCACGAAAGCGUGGGUAUCGAACAGGAUUAGAUACCCCGGUAGUC